RNAcentral lists this long non-coding RNA (2855 nucleotides) under Mus pahari (shrew mouse). RNAcentral describes it as "predicted gene, 20743 (MGP_PahariEiJ_G0012495.1)". The record is from RNAcentral. Lineage: Eukaryota; Metazoa; Chordata; Mammalia; Rodentia; Muridae.
GAGAGUUCUGCUCUGCCGAACCCGGGCUCACUGUGCAUACCCAGAUCAGAUCAUCUUCAUCAAGGCAUCAACUCAUCUGCCAGUGAAAAGAAGAUUGCCCCAGCACUUGCUGAUUCACAAGGACCUUCAGCUCCAGAUUUGAACUGUGGAGACAUCCAACUCUAUGGGCUGAGCAGCUAUCGGUUUCUCAACCCCUCCAGCAUCUAGGCAAACACUGUCGGAUAACCCAGGUCAUCUACCUGGAGCCACUGCUAUGUGCUUCACAGCUGCAGAAGGAUCUCAAGUCAUCAUUGAUAACGAUCAAGCUUGAACAGUGACGUUGCCGCCACAGGAAGCCAUUUGUCCGUAAUGAGCAACUAGAGACGGUUCGCUCGCGCCGCUUUUCUUACGGCCCCUCUCCUUCAUUCUCAACGCCAACCUGAACAUUCUUUACCCAGCCAAUAUCAUCCUAUGCUGAACUCCUCUGGACUCAAUAGAAAGGAAUUCUGGUCUCUUUUAGCUUUCCAUCACUACUUAAGAACAGUAGUUCUAUGUGUCGAGUGCACAUGGCUGCCCAAGGCUCGCAGAGCCCUAUUGUCUUCUAUACCUAGAAACUUGCUGUUUCUCAGCAAUGUUAGGCAGUCUAUUAAAGCAUUUACAGAAUUAAGUCAAAGCCAAAAUGACUUUUGUCCCAUUUGGCAUACACUAAAAACACCAAGGUUUUCCAAACCUCCUUUGAGUAGAAAACUUGCAAAGCUGAGAGCAAGACCACCCUUCCCCAGCUCCCACAGACUACCUCCAGGCCUGCCCUUAUCCUGAGUCCCACCGGACAGGACACCUGUCAACUCAAAAUGCCAUUCCUUUAGCAGCAUGUGACCUAACUGAAUAUCCUUGAAGGUUUUUUUUUGUUAGUCAAUAUUCCUGCUUUCACCCAAUGUCAAGGAUUUCCAAUCUGUUCCCUUUACUCCCUUUAUGCCCUUGUAGAAUCUCUGAUAAAAUUAUAAUAUUAUAGUCUAAGUGUGCAGAACAGAAUACAAAUAGAUCUGUAAGUCAACUCCAGCCAGUAGAAAAAGGUGACCCUUUAGGAAACAUCAGCCGAACAAUGAGCUCAGUGCUUCUGCAGCUUCCCUGGGAAUAUCUUCCAGGCUCAUUUGUCAAUGUGAAUUAUCUGUUACUCUCAGCAUCAAAGGCUGUCUUACAAACUCAAGAAGUCUAUCAUAAAUGAUAAUAUUCUCAACAAUAUUGGCAGACUCUAUUUAGUUGAGAAUAAUAUUGGUCUUCUCGUUAUGAACUUCUGGUCACCUUUUUUUUGGCUUUUACAAGUAGAAAGCAUUGAUUUGCUUCUGGAACAUAGGCCUUUGAGCGAAUUCCCCACUGUGAAGAAACUCUAAGAGUCUAGUAAUUUAUCAAAUCAAUUUUAAGUAAACAAAAGCAAGGCUUAUUUGCAAUCAUUGCCAGAAUUAAUAAAAAUAACAUUCUAAGGAUAUUUAAUGUGUUUAAAUAGUCAUCAGUAAAAAAAAAAAUCAGAUUAUUCCAUUUUAAUUUCAGCUCACAGUGUUGAAAUAUAUAGACAGGAUAUAAUAUUCAACUUUAAAUAAAUAAACAUGAGUCCGAACUAGCUGCUUUGAAAUUAGCACUUCCAUUCUGUAUAUGAAGUUUGAGGCUUACCUGGAGAAAGCAGUUAUUCUAAUCAAGACCCAAGUCAAACCUAGCAUAUGAGCCCACCUCUUCUUUAUCCCAUUAAUGUCUGCUCAGCUUACCUUCCACAACGCAUGUGAUGAGGCAGCAGACUCCCAGGAAAGUCAGGAGGGGAAGUCUCAUGGCUGAGGUCCUAUUGAGCUGUGCAGGAAGAAUGUGGGGCAGACUCCCCAGGAGCCCCUUUUAUUACUCUCAAUGCUGUGAGGCUAAGGUCGGAUCUUCCAUCCUGAAGCCAGUCCGUGUCAUGGCUCAGUGUGAUAACAGGACAAAGGAAAUUGAGGUGGUGUGGUCAUGGUGGUCCAUCCCACCUGCCGCCUGAGACUGAAGGCAUCUACAACCACAGAUCAGCCCCCGGUGGCCCUGCCUGACUCCACAGGAAAGCAAAGAGCUUGCUGCUGCUCUGGCUUCCCCUUCCUUGUCUUCUCCUUCCUUAGCCUUACUCAGGUUGCACCCAUUUCUUCAACAGGAGGAGGAACAAUAGCAUAUCUCUAUGCAUGCUUGCUGUUUGGGGGAAACAGACAUAAACAGGUAUGGUUAAGCUUAUUGAAAAACUGUUCUAUAAUCUUAUUUUAGAAAAAAAAAAAACAAAACCAAAGUUCCAUCCCCAGCACCCAUACCUAUGCACUUCACAGUCACUUAUCACUCCUGCUCCAGGGAAUCUAACGACCUCCUCUGAUCUCCAUGAGCACUCGACUACAGGCGCAGGUAGACUCAAAUAUAUACAAGUAAAUAAAUAAAAGUUCCAGCAGUCUCCCUUCUAAGGGUGUUCAUGUGUUUACACAAUUAUGAUCAUGACAAUUGCUGUUUCAGCAAAUUAAAAAGUUAGAUAGCUGCUCCUGUUUCUUCUGUUUCUUCUUUUGCUCUUGUACUUUGAGCAAGCACGCACACGUUAGAUAGCCUCCUCUGCUACUGCGACACAGACACAGCUAUAAGGUUAUUUUUUCAACAGUAUAAUCUGGUCUGAUUCCAUUAAUAAUCAGGAAGGUGGAGAGUGGGAGAAAGCAUAUUGCUGUACUUGUAGCUCUUGCUACCUUUGUAUAAUCUUCCCAAAAUAUAGUUUUCAUUUGCAAUGUCUCCAACAGAGUUUUAGUAAGUACAUCGAUUAUACCAACCUUUCUGAUACUCCAUUUUAGUUUUGUUUCUUAGUUUAUAUAGUUAUCAACAAAGUAUGUUUAUUG